CCUACGGGUGGCAGCAGUGGGGAAUAUUGCACAAUGGGGGAAACCCUGAUGCAGCGACGCCGCGUGAGUGAAGAAGUAUUUCGGUACGUAAAGCCCUAUCAGCAGGGAAGAAAAUGACGGUACCUGACUAAGAAGCCCCGGCUAACUACGUGCCAGCAGCCGCGGUAAUACGUAAGGGGCAAGCGUUAUCCGGAUUUACUGGGUGUAAAGGGAGCGUAGGCGGCAGCGCAAGUCUGGAGUGAAAUCCCAUGGCUUAACCAUGGAACUGCUUUGGAAACUGUGCAGCUAGAGUGCAGGAGAGGUAAGCGGAAUGCCUAGUGUAGCGGUGAAAUGCGUAGAUAUUAGGAGGAACACCAGUGGCGAAGGCGGCUUACUGGACUGUAACUGACGUUGAGGCUCGAAAGCGUGGGGAGCAAACAGGAUUAGAUAUCCGAGUAGUC
This 440-nucleotide ribosomal RNA is filed under the name uncultured bacterium. RNAcentral describes it as "partial 16S ribosomal RNA". It matches the Rfam family "Bacterial small subunit ribosomal RNA", at positions 338 to 795 of the family's 1533-position model. The record is from RNAcentral.